Dermochelys coriacea (leatherback sea turtle) is the source of this 1637-nucleotide long non-coding RNA. RefSeq lists it as uncharacterized. The record is from RefSeq and is a predicted model, not a curated record. Lineage: Eukaryota; Metazoa; Chordata; Testudines; Dermochelyidae. The transcript has 2 exons.
UCGUUCUUACCCCGGUUCUUUAGUUCCAACACCUACGCCAAGCCACAUUUUUUCCUAUUUCUCAUCACUGAGUUCAGAGGGUGGAGAUUCAGCUAUAUCAAGACUACUCUGGGCAUCCAGUAGCAGGAAAACAGCAAGAAAGGUCUCAGCUGAUUCCCAGGAUGGAAACAGCAAAGAAGAGAUAGCCAUUAACUAUGAAGAUAUCUGAGCUUCUAUUCUCAGCCUGAGAAAAGAAAUAUUUCUGUGUACCAGCCAGCUACAAGAGACAACUCAGGUUUGGCUGUAGGAGUCAAACGUCUAUCAAACAAAACCCUUUGCUUCUGCGUCAGUGAGCUUUUAUGUAGAACCCCCCCCAAGAAAAACAAACAAACGUACAGAUGGCAAUGAAUAACUGAUUUACUUAUCUCUUGCCUGGUUAAUGAAUUAUAGGCAAUACCUGCUAUGGAUCCAUAAGACUAUUAUAAUACGCUUUAAUCCAGAGAGCCACUUACAUCAUGAAUAUGGAAGUUCUAUGGAAAUAUCAUUUGAUUUUCUAUGCAGUCAUAUAUCCUAUGCAUUAAAAAAAACAGUUUAGCAGUAGUGAUAUUCAGUCACUAGAAAAGAACACUGCAUGGAGUCCAGUCAUUAACUACUUUCUUGCGGAGAUACACUUAGAAAACUAGGGAGAGAAUUUUCAGCACCCUGCAGAUAAUUGCUGGUUAUAGAGGAAACUAGUUAUUUUAUCUGCAGAUGGCUGCAAAACAUGAUCCAUAUUUCCAGGGAAUUGCUCUCUCCUUGUGUUGCCUCAGUUUUGUGGUUGUGCCGGAUGCUUAAUGGCCAGUUUGAAACAUUCUUUAAGAUUUCAUUCGUGCUGAGCUUGAAAGCUGCAAAACUGCUUUGACUGCUACUAUGGGCAGUCUAUUAAAAUGAUGUUCACUUACUCGUGGGCUGUACUAGGGGGGAAUGGCUGUCAAUCUCCCUCAGCGAGAAGAGUGUAAAAUACUGCGGGCCCAAGGAGGUGCUCCUGCUGUCAUUAAUAAUGUUAAGAUCUAUUCUUUGCUGGUUAGUGGACAUCCAUAUAUGUUUUAUUGCUAUUAAUUCACUGCUUUCUCCCUCGUGCUGAAACUAAAAUUUCUUUUCAGGUUUGGGAGGAAAUCAUAGAAGGAUAAGAAAAGGGGUCUGAAAAGAUUAUUAUCCUACAAAACAUAGUUUCUUUGGCCAUAGCCCAUAACAGUAACCUGCUGUUUUCAGGAUCUCUGCAGGAUGAGUGCAGGGGACUGUACUAAAAGAUCUUUUGAGGUCCCUUCCAGUCCUACAAUUCUAUGAUUCUAUAUAGCUGCCAUAGCUUGUCAGGCCAUUGUUAUAUUACCAAUAUUUCCUUUCAAAGUUACCAAGUUUUAGGUGUGGCUGAACAUGGAGGUGUAAGCAGAACAUCCAUAUGCAAAAUACAUACUGUGCUCUUGCAGGAUCUUCACAUUAACACCAUGUUGAGUAGUUCAGCCUGAAAUGACUUUGGAGAAGGUAAGAUCAAGAAGAUCCUUUAUACUUGUUUAAGCCCCACAGAUUGAUGGCUUAAAGUAAUGUUACUCUCUGCUUGCCCCUUUAGAGAAGCUACUGGCAGGUGUCAUUUACAUAAAGUAUAAUUUUGCUUAUCCAUA